This 65-nucleotide transfer RNA is filed under the name Astrosyne radiata. It matches the Rfam family "tRNA", at positions 6 to 65 of the family's 71-position model. From Rfam's summary of the family: Transfer RNA (tRNA) molecules are approximately 80 nucleotides in length. Their secondary structure includes four short double-helical elements and three loops (D, anti-codon, and T loops). The record is from RNAcentral. Lineage: Eukaryota; Bacillariophyta; Fragilariophyceae; Cyclophorales; Cyclophoraceae.
UAUCGUCUAAUGGAAAAGACAUAGUCCUUCUAAGUCUAAAAUGUAGGUUCAAUUCCUACUAGGUU